UGGGACACUACUGUACCUACCAAGAAACAUA
This 31-nucleotide non-coding RNA is filed under the name Rattus norvegicus (Norway rat). The record is from RNAcentral. Lineage: Eukaryota; Metazoa; Chordata; Mammalia; Rodentia; Muridae.